GUUCAUCUCAAGUGGUAUUUCUGCUCUGCCAAACUUAAACAAUGCUGGACCUGAGUAGUGAAGGAUAUCUGUCCAAGGACUGCUGAUAGCAGAUAAGCAUGUGGAGAGAGGAUACAGCUGAAGGAUGCACCACCAACCUCCCCACUCAUUGAUAAAGUUGAGCAGGAGCAGUGUCACCAGCCGUGCUCCACUACAGAAACUUACAGAGGAGCGGUCCAGUUAGCAGAGACUGGACACUGUAACAAAACCAAAAGCUGGAUCUCAAAAGUGGAACAGGCACACAGUAAGCAAAAAUGGAAAUGAAAAACAUUUGUAUACUGAACAAUGCAAUCAAACACUAUCAUGAGAAAAAAAAUGAAGAAACUACGUUUCAACAUAAGAAACAUGCUGCAUGGUUUCGUACGAGUCUUCCAAUAGCUGUCCACCUCAUUUAAAUUCCAGAAGAACACACACCUGCAUCACUACACCGAAGAGAAUUAGCCCACCAGCGAUGGCAGGGAUCUCAGGGCUCAGACAUUUCCCCUUCCCAGAGAGGCCACUGGAGACAAGUGGAGAACAUUUAUCCACUGCCUGCUCCUGCUGGGGAAGGAAAAAAAAAACCUUGAUGCCC
RNAcentral lists this long non-coding RNA (610 nucleotides) under Gallus gallus (chicken). RNAcentral describes it as "lncRNA (ENSGALG00010006846.1)". Lineage: Eukaryota; Metazoa; Chordata; Aves; Galliformes; Phasianidae. The record is from RNAcentral.